Molecule: long non-coding RNA, 2228 nt
Organism: Ictalurus punctatus (channel catfish)
Lineage: Eukaryota; Metazoa; Chordata; Actinopteri; Siluriformes; Ictaluridae
Exons: 5
Source: RefSeq, a predicted model, not a curated record
CUUUCCGUUUCUGAUACCUGCUCAUCACUGACAAGAAGAAGAGAGCCAGUAUUUACUUCUUUGCAAAAACUGUUCACACACAUUUAUCGAACUCGCUAAAGCACCUGACUACGAGAUCCAAGCUUCUGACUGAAACACAGCAACUCAAACAACAAAACUCAGGAGCUCCGCAAUCUCCUGCCCAAAUAUCAAAACUCAAAGGUAACCACAGCAGGUGCUGGAGCAAGCAGCGGGCAAGGUCCUGUAUGUAUCUUCCUCAGGCAUGUGUUUGAACCCUUUGGAAACUGAAGACAGGAACCAGCUACAGAUGGGUGACAAAUUCAAGAAAAACCUGAAUAACUGAGUGGAGAAACAUAAGAAUGGCUGAGUGUGUGUGCAUCACUUACCUGGGGAAGAGAUGGCACAGGAUACUCUGUGGAAAGAAGGCAAGUCAGCAGAGGCAGUGCAGUGGUCUGAGCAAUGUUCUGCUGGGAAACCUUGAGUCCUGGUAUUCAUGUAGAUGUUACUUUGACACAUACCACCUAAACAUUGGUGCAGACCAAGUACACAAUGGCAUUGCUAAUGGCAACGGUAUUCCCUAAUGGCAGUGGCCGCUUUCAGAUGGAUAACGUGCACUGCUACACUGCAAAAAUUGCAGGAAUGGUAUGAAAAACAUAACAAAGAGUAUAAGAUGUUGAUUUGGCCUCCAAAUUUCCCAGAUCUCAAUCCAAUCUAGCACCUGAAGAUGUGCUGGACAAACAAGUCCGAACCAUGGAGGCUCCACCACACAACUUACAGGAUUUAAAUUAUCUGCUGCUAAUGUCUUGGUGCCAGAUACCACAGCUCACCUUCAGAGGUCUUGUGGAGUCCAUGCCUCGAAGGGUCAGAGCUAUUUUGGCAGCACAGGGGGGACUUACACAAUAUUAGGCAGAUGGUUUUAAUGUUAUGAGUGAUCAUGAAUGUCAGUUAUAUGUAUCGAGCAGAUAUGAUGUUUAAAUUAAUAAUCAGUAUGAUAAGUGCCAGAUCUUGAGCUUUACAGAGAUUGCAUUGUUGUUGAAAAUUUUAUUGUUGUAAUCAUGUUAAAUACAUGUCAUGUACUAAAAUCCAUGCAGUCAUGUUGCUCCUUCACUAAACCUACAUAAUUGUGCAUUCUAUGAAAACAACUUGAAUGAAAUCAAUCCAGUUUUCCUUGUAAUGCUCUAACAAAAAGCUGACUAUUAGUUGGGACUGGAAAAAAAAAUAGAACUACCACAAAAACUGUAUGAAUGACAUGCAGGAGGUGAAACCACAAUCAUAUGAAGGUAGUGUCACACAUUUCUAUGCUUUUUUAAGAGCUUAUACCAGGUGUUCAGGAAACCAGAAAUGUACAUAACUGAUUAGACUGAAUUUCUCAUUAAUGCUGAUAAUUGCUGAACAGCCCAAACAUUUCAUUUAAUUGAUGUCUGCUCCACUUCUACCAGCUUUACAUUUCCUGGUAGGCAUGGUCCUAUUUCACAACCGCCCCCUUUUACAACCCAUGUUCUUUACUAAGAAAUCCAAGUAUUGGUAUAUAUUUCAUAUCUACUAUUCACUAUGUUUAUUUACUACCACAUAUUAGUUAAGUUCAUAACUAUAUUAACAGUAUUUAAACCUGAUAGAAAUGAACCUGAUUGAACACAAUAGUGUGAAUUUGGGAGACUUUUAUUCUUAAGACUGGGUAUGGAACCACAACCCACUACUGAAGAAUACUAGAUGGUGUUUUGAGCUUAAGAGACAGCAAGACUGAAUGAACUAGAUCAGCCAGGUGCUCAGAGAGACUAUCCCAGUCUCCAAGGUUACCGGUUGGUGAAAGCUUGAGAGUAGGACAACUCCUAAAGCCCUAGUGUGCUCAUUUGCUACAACGUAGUAAUAGCUUUGCAUCCCCUGAGUGUAGCAUGAGUCACGUGACAGUAUUUUGGUAUAAUGUUUGCAUUACUCUUACACUAUAAUACACCUUUCCUCCCAUCUAACAUCAGACUUUAACACUAUCUAACCAGUCUAGCUUAUUAGUCUCAACUCAAGAAGGGCAGAAUAUUUUUUCUAUUUUUAAAUUAUGUAUUCAUAUCAAAGACCUUGAUUACAUGAACUGUAUGUAGUUUAAAAACCGACACUAGUAUUCACCCUCUAUCUUAGUCUUGUAGUAGCACAGUUGAAUUAGUCAGCUGAUGAGCUUGAGACUUCUCAAAUGAGUCAUAGUUAUUUAUAAAAAAAAAAAAAAAAAAAAAAGACAA